RNAcentral lists this ribosomal RNA (427 nucleotides) under uncultured bacterium. RNAcentral's name for it is "bacterial SSU rRNA". It matches the Rfam family "Bacterial small subunit ribosomal RNA", at positions 355 to 774 of the family's 1533-position model. The record is from RNAcentral.
UGGGGAAUUUUGGACAAUGGGCGAAAGCCUGAUCCAGCCAUUCCGCGUGAGUGAAGAAGGCCUUCGGGUUGUAAAGCUCUUUCGCAAGGGAAGAAAACUUAGGCGCUAAUAUCGCCUGAGGUUGACGGUACCUUGAUAAGAAGCACCGGCUAACUACGUGCCAGCAGCCGCGGUAAUACGUAGGGUGCGAGCGUUAAUCGGAAUUACUGGGCGUAAAGCGUGCGCAGGCUGUUUUGUAAGUCAGAUGUGAAAUCCCUGAGCUCAACUUAGGAACUGCGUUUGAAACUACAAGACUAGAAUAUGUCAGAGGGGGGUAGGAUUCCACGUGUAGCAGUGAAAUGCGUAGAGAUGUGGAGGAAUACCAAUGGCGAAGGCAGCCCCCUGGGAUAAUAUUGACGCUCAUGCACGAAAGCGUGGGGAGCAAACA